AUCUUCUUAACUAUUAUUAAGUUUAUAUCUUGAAAAUAUAAAAAAGGAAAUAUAUUCUCCUAGAAGAUU
This 69-nucleotide transfer RNA is filed under the name Nuttalliella namaqua. Its description in RNAcentral is "tRNA-Ser". The record is from RNAcentral. Lineage: Eukaryota; Metazoa; Arthropoda; Arachnida; Ixodida; Nuttalliellidae.